AUUCUCAGUUCGGAUUGUAGGCUGAAACUCGCCUACAUGAAGCUGGAGUUACUAGUAAUCGCAGAUCAGAAUGCCGCGGUGAAUACGUUCCCGGGCCUUGUACACACCGCCCGUCACACCAUGGGAGCCGGUAAUACCCGAAGUCAGUAGUCCAACCACGUGAGGACGCUGCCGAAGGUAGGAUUGGCGACUGGGGUGAAGUCGUAACAAGGUAAC
This 216-nucleotide ribosomal RNA is filed under the name uncultured bacterium. RNAcentral's name for it is "partial 16S ribosomal RNA". It matches the Rfam family "Bacterial small subunit ribosomal RNA", at positions 1284 to 1500 of the family's 1533-position model. The record is from RNAcentral.